UUUUUUAUUAUUUUUUUUAAAAGAAAAUUUUUUUUAUGGACAAACGGGACCUUAAUUUUUUUAAUCAUAGUUCCGUGGUCUAUUUUAAGUUAUCUUUUCAUUUAAGGAGGAAAUAUUACUCACUUCAAUCAUUUAAGGUGAUAAUAUUUGAUUGGGUAUGAAAUUUGAGAAAAAAUAAAAAAGUAUUUUUGAAAUUUAUGAUCAAGAACAAGUCAUAUGAAAUUCGCAUUAUUAGGUUCAAUUGGUACAAUAGAGAGGGAUAUUCAACACGGUACUAACCUCUUGGCCAUUGUUGAAAGAAGUGGAGACGAUGUCAUAAUGAGAAAGGAAAAUCGCAGCAAAAAUUGGAUUUUGUCGAAGAUCCUUUAUUAAUUGAGGAAGUAUUGGGCAAAAAAUGUAUUGAUUUAUAAGAGGUUUAAUACCUAACAUGUCAUAUAUUAAGGUAGCUGAUCAUAAUCGAGGGAAAAAUAUUUUAUACUACAACAAAUUUAUUCCUAGAGGGAUGCCAUUCCACCACAUCCACUGGAGUAACCCAAAUUUGAAUAUUUGGACAUAGUGUUUAAUGUUACCUCUUCUCAUAAGGAUUAAGUUGUAUUCUAUUGAGAAAGAGUUAAUUUUAUCAUAUGAUAAUAUGGUAAAGUUGUUCUUUUGUUUUCACUGUAGAUGACAUGUUUUACAUAUAUGCAAUUAGCAUAAGUUGGUUGGCAUGAGACUUGCAAUUGUCUGAUUAGAAAACUUCAAAUAUUUAUGUGAUUUUUCUUGUUCAUAUUUUGGGCAGCUUCAUACCUAAUUGAAUUGAUGGAUAUAUAGCCAACUAUACGAUCAGGCAAUUUGGAUCUACCCAUGCGAUUUUGGUGAAAGUAACUUAAUAUUUAGGUUGCUUGACACUUUAGGGUGUGACGAGUUUGAACUGGAUUUAGACGGAUCAAAAUAUAUAUGUUGAGUUAAUAUAAUUAUUAAAGAUUAUUUGAUUUGAGAUGAGCUAAACAAUAGAUAAAAACCUGUCCAACUCUGGAAAAAGAUUAAUAAUUUAUUCAAUUUUCAAACAAAACUGAUAAUUUUUUUUUUCUUUAUUAUGACUAUAUCAAACAUAUCAAAUGAAAAAGUUUUAUUUUUUUAAACAAAUGUUUUGGCAAAUUUUAC
This 1143-nucleotide long non-coding RNA is filed under the name Nicotiana benthamiana. RNAcentral describes it as "long non-coding RNA (NBEN_LNC022606)". Lineage: Eukaryota; Viridiplantae; Streptophyta; Magnoliopsida; Solanales; Solanaceae. The record is from RNAcentral.